AGGGUGUAAACGCUGCAGACUUGGUGUUGGAGGCCCUUUGGGGGCAUUCAGUGCCGGAGAGAAGUUGUUAAGUCUGCUACUUGGGGAGUACGUCCGCAAGGAUGAAACUUAAAGGAAUUGGCGGGGGAGCACCGCAACGGGAGGAGCGUGCGGUUUAAUUGGAUUCAACACCGUAAAACUCACCAGGGGAGACUGUUACAUGAAGGCCGAGAUGAAGACUCUGCUAGAUUUUCAGAGAGGAGGUGCAUGGCGUCAGUGACU
This 261-nucleotide ribosomal RNA is filed under the name uncultured archaeon. RNAcentral describes it as "partial 16S ribosomal RNA". It matches the Rfam family "Archaeal small subunit ribosomal RNA", at positions 748 to 1008 of the family's 1478-position model. The record is from RNAcentral.